AUGGCCGCAGCCCUUUGUGUCACCAGGCUGCCAGGAUGCAGCAGCGGGGUCUUUGCAUUCAGGGCACAGCUCGAUGUGGCCUCCCCACUCCCCCCAGCUCAUGGGUAUUCAUGCCGGCAGCAGCCCAUCACCAUGGCAUCCAGGCUGCCGGCAGGAACUGCCUGCCCUUUUCCCAGCCUUUGCAGCCAAGAGGCUGCCUGCCGGCCUCCGCUGGCAGCUCGCCUGCCCCAGCGCCUCUUAAGGGGCUUCACAAUGGGGCCGAGGUGGCGUUUGCCCCCGCGGCAGCCCCGCUGCGAUGCAGCUCAGGCAUGGGGCUGGGAGUGGUGCUGGGUGCCCCCAGCCUGCUGCAGGAGGCGGCACCCCUCUGUGCGGGAGCACUGGCUGGCACAGCCCAAGCGAGGGGAGUGGGGAGUGUCUGCACCCCACUUUUGGCCGUGGCCCCAGCAGCAUCAGGGGGUGGGGAGCCAGGACUGGAGACCCCCAGACAGGACACAACCAGGGGGACAGGCCCCACAGAGGCAACCCAGCUCACACAGCAGCCCCUUACCCACCCCCACCACCGGUGCUCCCCUUGAAGGCAGCGGGGGGCUGCUGUGCCGGGCAGGAGACCCCUGCCCUGUGGCUUGGUGCUCCUUGGGCAGGAUCUGCCAGCACAGCGCUCAGCCCCAAGACAGCUGCACAAGGUCGCCUCAGGGCGCAGCAGGACCCCACGUGUCAUGGGGGGCAGCACUUGGCCCCCCACUCCUGGGGACACCACCUGGGUGGUCCUGUGACCUUCAGUGUGUAGCAGUGCCAGAGCCGCACAGGGGGACAUCAUCGAGAUUACCCAGUUAUCGAGUAUCUAUCCAGGCGGAUGAGAUUAGCGCUGGUAUUGCAGCUUUGUGGUCAGCUGCCGAGCGAGGUGACAGCACAAUGUGGCUGAUGCCCACUCGCACCCCACUCCUUCCCCGGGACCCACGGGGGGAAGCUGUGCCACGGCCGGCGCUGCCAGCACCAGCACCCUGCAGCAGGAAGGAUGCUGUGCCGUGCCAAGCAGGACAAAGGCAGCCGUUGGUGCGUGCGGUGGGGUAG
RNAcentral lists this long non-coding RNA (1071 nucleotides) under Falco tinnunculus (common kestrel). RNAcentral describes it as "lncRNA (ENSFTIG00000000843.1)". Lineage: Eukaryota; Metazoa; Chordata; Aves; Falconiformes; Falconidae. The record is from RNAcentral.